This 560-nucleotide ribosomal RNA is filed under the name fungal sp. ARIZ B400cB. Its description in RNAcentral is "eukaryotic LSU rRNA". The stretch from base 221 to 374 matches the Rfam family "5.8S ribosomal RNA". Lineage: Eukaryota; Fungi. The record is from RNAcentral.
UGGAAGUAAAAGUCGUAACAAGGUCUCCGUUGGUGAACCAGCGGAGGGAUCAUUACAGAGUUGCAAAACUCCCAAACCAUCGUGAACGUUACCUACAUCGUUGCUUCGGCGGGUGGCGGGCUUCGGCCCUGCCCUCGGCCCCUCUCGGGGGCCCGCCGGAGGUACACCAAACUCUUGAAUUUACAUGGCCUCUCUGAGUCUUCUGUACUGAAUAAGUCAAAACUUUCAACAACGGAUCUCUUGGUUCUGGCAUCGAUGAAGAACGCAGCGAAAUGCGAUAAGUAAUGUGAAUUGCAGAAUUCAGUGAAUCAUCGAAUCUUUGAACGCACAUUGCGCCCGCCAGUAUUCUGGCGGGCAUGCCUGUCCGAGCGUCAUUUCAACCAUCAAGCCCCCGGCUUGUGUUGGGGACCUGCGGCACACCCGCAGGCCCUGAAAACCAGUGGCGGGCUCGCUGUCCACACCGAGCGUAGUAGCAUAUCUUUGUCUCGCUCAGGGCGUGCGGCGGGUUCCGGCCGUGAAACCCACCUUCUCGAAGGUACCCAGAGGUGACCUCGGAUCGG